RNAcentral lists this ribosomal RNA (253 nucleotides) under uncultured bacterium. RNAcentral describes it as "partial 16S ribosomal RNA". It matches the Rfam family "Bacterial small subunit ribosomal RNA", at positions 524 to 776 of the family's 1533-position model. The record is from RNAcentral.
UACGGAGGGUGCGAGCGUUGUCCGGAGUCACUGGGCGUAAAGCGCGCGCAGGCGGUCUUCCAAGUCAGUGGUGAAAGCCCGGAGCUCAACUCCGGAACUGCCAUUGAAACUGUUGGACUUGAGUACGAGAGAGGUGAGUGGAAUUCCCAGUGUAGAGGUGAAAUUCGUAGAUAUUGGGAAGAACACCGGUGGCGAAGGCGGCUCACUGGCUCGUAACUGACGCUCAGGCGCGACAGCGUGGGGAUCAAACAGG